UUAAAUCAUAUGUGAUUUCUUAGAUCGUACCGUUCCCUCGGAAUCGGGUGGAUAACUGUGGUAAUUCUAGAGCUAAUACAUGCAAUCAAGCUCAGACCUUCGGGGACGAGCGCUCAUAUUAGACCAAGGCCAACCUGCUUCGCUUGCACUGUCAGUCGCGCUGUGGUGACUCAUGGAUAUCCAUCAGUUGAUCGCACGACCUUUGCGUCG
This 210-nucleotide ribosomal RNA is filed under the name Serpula sp. V2_P2. Its description in RNAcentral is "partial small subunit ribosomal RNA". Lineage: Eukaryota; Metazoa; Annelida; Polychaeta; Sabellida; Serpulidae. The record is from RNAcentral.